UCCACGCCCUAAACGAUGCGAACUGGAUGUUGGGUGCAAUUUGGCACGCAGUAUCGAAGCUAACGCGUUAAGUUCGCCGCCUGGGGAGUACGGUCGCAAGACUGAAACUCAAAGGAAUUGACGGGGGCCCGCACAAGCGGUGGAGUAUGUGGUUUAAUUCGAUGCAACGCGAAGAACCUUACCUGGUCUUGACAUGUCGAGAACUUUCCAGAGAUGGAUUGGUGCCUUCGGGAACUCGAACACAGGUGCUGCAUGGCUGUCGUCAGCUCGUGUCGUGAGAUGUUGGGUUAAGUCCCGCAACGAGCGCAACCCUUGUCCUUAGUUGCCAGCACGUAAUGGUGGGAACUCUAAGGAGACCGCCGGUGACAAACC
This 372-nucleotide ribosomal RNA is filed under the name uncultured bacterium. Its description in RNAcentral is "bacterial SSU rRNA". It matches the Rfam family "Bacterial small subunit ribosomal RNA", at positions 794 to 1164 of the family's 1533-position model. The record is from RNAcentral.